UUCUUAGAAAAGAUCUAAAGACACUACCACAUGACCAAACCUUUUUCCCCGUGAAACCCAAAUUUAUUUCCAAUUUUCCAUAACCCACCUUAUCAGACGAGCUAAUAACCCCAUUUUCCUAUCAAACCUACUCCAUUUUCUCACUUGUCCAUAACCCUAAUACGCUAAAUUGCUGUUCCCUAGCGACUUCAACAGUAGAAAUUAUUGUCCCAAAACGCAUUCUGUGGAAAAUCGCUUGCUAAACAAGCUAAUUAUGGCAAUGCUUUGGCAGUCUUUAAAUGGACCUGAAGUUAUCACAACAAAUAUUGCCUAGCACGACAAUAACUUUACUCAGGGCUAGUCCCUUGUUCACAUCCAUUUCAACUAUCUCGGUUGUUGUUAAAGUUAGUAGAAGAUCUGAAUUGUGAAGGAGGUAAAGUGAUAUUGCUUUAUUACUUUCACUCUCCAUGACAGCUAUGACAUUCUUUGUUAGAUGGGAUCAAGUUUAUAGGGUCGUUAUUGAUAUUUUAAUACUCAAAAUUUGUUAUCUAGUUUGUCGAAUCAGUAGCUCCAAUUUUACUGAUCAACCUAUGAUAGAUUAUUGAAAAUUUUGAGACUUGGAGAUGUCUCUUUCACAGUUUAAAGGAGCUAGUAGCAAUAUCUUAAUGUUUCUCCAAGGAAAUAAGCAUGGUAUUUAGCCUAUUUUUAUUAUACUCUUUAUGUUUCAGGUGAUUUGCUAUAGUUAGAAUCCAAGAUUUUAAAUAUGAUCUUUGGGUCAUGGUUUGCAGAUAGUAUUACCGAAAUUUUUGUGCUAAUAUUUCCUCAGAGAGUGCUUGCACUGCCCUUUGCAUAAUUACUUGUUGGAGCAGCCAAAUUGACAGAUGCACAAGCCAAGGUGAAACAAAUUAACAAAGGAUAGCUGAAAGCAGUGAAGAUCUACUUAAGAGUUGGUUGAUCGUUGUCAAACUUUUAGAUGGUCUACGGAUCUUUUAUUUUAGAAAUUAUGUAUGAUAACUCUUAAAUUGUCAAAAAAUAUUGUGUAUUUGCUUUUAUAAAUAGAUAAUACUAGUUCGAUAUUUUGGAUCAUGAUUUUAUUGUUGA
Molecule: long non-coding RNA, 1080 nt
Organism: Nicotiana attenuata
Lineage: Eukaryota; Viridiplantae; Streptophyta; Magnoliopsida; Solanales; Solanaceae
Exons: 5
Source: RefSeq, a predicted model, not a curated record